RNAcentral lists this ribosomal RNA (376 nucleotides) under uncultured organism. RNAcentral describes it as "bacterial SSU rRNA". It matches the Rfam family "Bacterial small subunit ribosomal RNA", at positions 525 to 896 of the family's 1533-position model. The record is from RNAcentral.
ACAGAGGGGGCAAGCGUUGUUCGGAAUUACUGGGCGUAAAGGGCGCGUAAGGCGGCCCGCUAAGUCGAACGUGAAAUCCCCGAGCUCAACUCGGGAACUGCGUCCGAUACUGGCGGGCUUGAAUCCGGGAGAGGGAUGCGGAAUUCCAGGUGUAGCGGUGAAAUGCGUAGAUAUCUGGAGGAAACACCGGUGGCGAAGGCGGCAUCCUGGACCGGCAUUGACGCUGAGGCGCGAAAGCUAGGGGAGCAAACGGGAUUAGAUACCCCGGUAGUCCUAGCCCUAAACGAUGAAUGCUUGGUGUGGCGGGUAUCGAUCCCUGCCGUGCCGAAGCUAACGCAUUAAGCAAUUCCGCCUGGGGAGUACGGUCGCAAGGCUG